ACGCUCGACACCUACGGGAGGCAGCAGUUGGGAAUAUUGGACAAUGGAGGAAACUCUGAUCCAGUGACGCCGCGUGAAGGAAGAAGGUCUUCGGAUUGUAAACUUAUUUUGUCAGGGAAGAAAAAAUGACUGUACCUGAAGAAAAAGCACCGGCUAACUACGUGCCAACAGCCGCGGUAAUCUGAGCGGCUGCAAGGC
RNAcentral lists this ribosomal RNA (198 nucleotides) under uncultured bacterium. RNAcentral describes it as "partial 16S ribosomal RNA". It matches the Rfam family "Bacterial small subunit ribosomal RNA", at positions 328 to 538 of the family's 1533-position model. The record is from RNAcentral.